CCGCCGCGGUAACACCGGCGCCCCAAGUGGCAAUCGCGAUUAUUGGGCCUAAAGCGUCCGUAGCCGGAUUAGUAAAUUUUCUGUGAAAUCAGUUGGCUUAACCAAUCGGCGUGCAGGAAACACUGCUAUUCUAGAGACCAGGAGGAGUGAAAGGUAUUCUGAGGGGAGCGGUAAAAUGUGAUAAUCCUUGGAAGACCACCGAUGGCGAAAGCAUUUCACUAGAAUGGAUCUGACGGUCAGGGACGAAGGCUAGGGGAGCAAAACGGAUUAGAUACCCGAGUAGUCCUAGCUGUAAACGCUGUAUGCAAGGUGUUGCGUAUUCUUGAGAAUUCGCAGUAUCGAAGAGAAGUCGUUAAGCAUACCGCCUGGGAAGUACGGCCGCAAGACUGAAACUUAAAGGAAUUGGCGGGGGAGCACCACAAGGGGUGCGGCGUGCGGUUUAAUCUAAUUCAACGCAGAGAAUCUCACCAGAGGCGACAGCAAGAUGAAAAUCAGUCUAAAGGGCUUAUUGGAUGAGCUGAGAGGUAGUGCAUGGCCGUCGUCAGCUCGUGCCGUAAGGUGUCCUGUUAAGUCAGGCAACGAGCGAGACCUGUAUCUACAAUUGCCAGCGAACUCUUCGGAGUGAUCGGGAACAUUGUAGGGACUGCCCGUGAAAACGGGAGGAAGGUGCAGGCUACGGUAGGUCUGCUAUGCUCCGAAUCUUCUGGGCUACACGCGCGCAACAAUGGUAUGGACAAUGGGCUACUACUCCGAAAGGAGACGUUAAUCCUCGAAACCAUGCCGUAGUACAGAUUGUGGGUUGUAACUCACCCCACAUGACGGUGGAAUCCCUAGUAAUCGGAUGUCAUCAUCAUUCGGUGAAUAUGUCCCU
This 871-nucleotide ribosomal RNA is filed under the name uncultured archaeon. RNAcentral's name for it is "bacterial SSU rRNA". It matches the Rfam family "Archaeal small subunit ribosomal RNA", at positions 462 to 1331 of the family's 1478-position model. The record is from RNAcentral.